UACGUAGGGGGCUAGCGUUGUCCGGAAUCAUUGGGCGUAAAGAGCGUGUAGGCGGCCAGGUAGGUCGGUUGUGAAAACUGGAGGCUCAACCUUCAGACGUCGACCGAAACCAUCUGGCUAGAGUCCGGGAGAGGAGAGUGGAAUUCCUGGUGUAGCGGUGAAAUGCGCAGAUAUCAGGAAGAACACCCGUGGCGAAAGCGGCUCUCUGGAACGGUACUGACGCUGAGACGCGAAAGCGUGGGGAGCGAACAGG
RNAcentral lists this ribosomal RNA (253 nucleotides) under uncultured bacterium. Its description in RNAcentral is "partial 16S ribosomal RNA". It matches the Rfam family "Bacterial small subunit ribosomal RNA", at positions 524 to 776 of the family's 1533-position model. The record is from RNAcentral.